AUUGAACGCUGGCGGCAGGCCUAACACAUGCAAGUCGAACGAGUGGCGGACGGGUGAGUACUGUCUGGGAAACUGCCUUAUGGAGGGGGAUAACUACUGGAAACGGUAGCUAAUACCGCCUACCAUCGGAUGUGCCCACAUGGGAUUAGCUAGUCGGUGGGGUAAAGGCUCACCUAGGCGACGAUCCCUAGCUGGUCUGAGAGGAUGACCAGCCACACUGGGACUGAGACACGGUCCAGACUCCUACGGGAGGCAGCAGUGGGGAAUAUUGCACAAUGGGCGCAAGCCUGAUACAGCCAUGACGCGUGUAUGAAGAAGGCCUUAGGGUUGUAAAGUACUUUCAGCGGGGAGGCGUUACCCGCAGAAGAAGCACCGGCUAACUCCGUGCCAGCAGCCGCGGUAAUUC
This 406-nucleotide ribosomal RNA is filed under the name uncultured bacterium. RNAcentral's name for it is "partial 16S ribosomal RNA". It matches the Rfam family "Bacterial small subunit ribosomal RNA", at positions 30 to 526 of the family's 1533-position model. The record is from RNAcentral.